UUUAUUUUUUUGUGAAAUUCUAUGUGGAUAAUAAUGCAGUCGACGAGCUCUCCCAAAUUGAUUUUAUGCUUGCAUAAAUGAUUUUUGGAUUCGGAGCGAGUGGCGAACUGGUGAGUAACACGUGGGUAACCUGCCCCGAAGCGGGGGAUAACAUUUGGAAACAAGUGCUAAUACCGCAUAAUUAGUUGGAACCGCAUGGUUCCAACUUGAAAGAUGGCUCUGCUAUCGGUUGGGGGGGGGACCCGCGCCGUAUUAGUUAGUUGGUGAGAUAAAAGCCCACCAAGACGAUGAUACGUAGCCGACCUGAGAGGGUAAUCGGCCACAUUGGGACUGAGACACGGCCCAGACUCCUACGGGAGGCAGCAGUAGGGAAUCUUCCACAAUGGACGAAAGUCUGAUGGAGCAACGCCGCUUUGAGUGAUGAAGGGUUUUCGGAUCGUAAAAACUCUGUUGUUUUGGGAAGAAGGAGAAGAUAGAAGAAACUGUUAACACUUUUGACGGAUUUAACCAGAAAGCCAACGGCUAACUACGUGCCAGCAGCGGCGGUAAUUAU
Molecule: ribosomal RNA, 553 nt
Filed under: Apilactobacillus kunkeei
Lineage: Bacteria; Bacillati; Bacillota; Bacilli; Lactobacillales; Lactobacillaceae
Description: bacterial SSU rRNA
Rfam family: Bacterial small subunit ribosomal RNA
Source: RNAcentral